RNAcentral lists this ribosomal RNA (253 nucleotides) under uncultured bacterium. RNAcentral's name for it is "partial 16S ribosomal RNA". It matches the Rfam family "Bacterial small subunit ribosomal RNA", at positions 524 to 776 of the family's 1533-position model. The record is from RNAcentral.
UACAGAGGUCUCAAGCGUUGUUCGGAUUCAUUGGGCGUAAAGGGUGCGUAGGUGGCGCGCUAAGUCAGGUGUGAAAUUUCGGAGCUUAACUCCGAAACUGCAUUCGAUACUGCCGUGCUUGAGGACUGGAGAGGAGACUGGAAUUUACGGUGUAGCGGUGAAAUGCGUAGAUAUCGUAAGGAAGACCAGUGGCGAAGGCGGGUCUCUGGACAGUUCCUGACGCUGAGGCACGAAGGUCAGGGGAGCAAACGGG